AAUAAAUAUAUUAACUACUAAUACGACGUUAACUUUAGGGAAAUAAAGGUUAUUAGAGGAUUACGAGUGAGUGUGUAAAUACUGGGGUAAAGAAGGGGUGUAUUAUGAGAGGCAGCGACCAUGAGGAGGGUGUGAGGGAGGUGUUGAGGCGGGCAGGUGGGGCCCAGCUCCUCACUCUCCUCCUCGCCUUCACUCCAGUAACAUCGUCUCUCCUCGUCUUGCAAGUGAUGGUAACGUCCGAUCACUUGAACGCAUCGGACAAGAGAUGAAGGGAUGAGGGGCGUAGAGAACAGGGAGGGGCAGAUGCGGUGUUCUGUUCAAAUAUUGCUGGCCUCUUCCAGUUCCUGCGACGGCGCUGGAACCAAUCGUAUU
Procambarus clarkii (red swamp crayfish) is the source of this 372-nucleotide non-coding RNA. Lineage: Eukaryota; Metazoa; Arthropoda; Malacostraca; Decapoda; Cambaridae. The record is from RefSeq and is a predicted model, not a curated record.